This 254-nucleotide ribosomal RNA is filed under the name uncultured bacterium. RNAcentral's name for it is "partial 16S ribosomal RNA". It matches the Rfam family "Bacterial small subunit ribosomal RNA", at positions 524 to 776 of the family's 1533-position model. The record is from RNAcentral.
UACGUAGGGUGCGAGCGUUAAUCGGAAUUACUGGGCGUAAAGCGUGCGCAGGCGGUCUGUUAAGACCGAUGUGAAAUCCCCGGGCUUAACCUGGGAACUGCAUUGGUGACUGGCAGGCUUUGAGUGUGGCAGAGGGAGGUAGAAUUCCACGUGUAGCUGUGAAAUGCGUAGAGAUGUGGAGGAAUACCGAUGACGAAGGCAGCCUCCUGGGCCAACACUGACGCUCAUGCACGAAAGCGUGGGGAGCAAACAGG